CGCGGGGCCCGCAGUGAGGGAGCGUUCCCGGGUCCCCCCGGCCGCCCCCCAGCCUUCCCGCCGCAACCGGGCCCCGCAGUGUCACCCGGGGAGCCCCCAGGGCUCGGGCCGUGCUGGCUUUGCCCGCUUCUCCGCCAUUUCUAGGCCCGAGAAGCCGGGGCCUGGCAGCUGCGGGCCCGCCCAGGCCGCGGUGCAGGCCCGUGUCCCCCGAGCCCCCAGAGUGUCACAGCAGCUCCAGACACCACUUUCAGUUAUUUCCACAGUUCCUACACCUGGGCUGUGCCUACACUGAGAGUGUUGGCCACAUGCAACGAUGUCAGUCAGAGACCAUCCAAGAUAACAUUUUAUAGAUAUUAACGCUGCUCCUCACAGUGUUACUGGGCACACUCGGCAGAGCACACGCAGGUUUGAACAAUCUCACAUUCAAAAUGACUUUCUUCUGGGAACAACUGCAACUACUUUCUUUUUUUCUUUUGGUCAAAAAAAGGAAUUGCUCCAGGCACAGGAUUUUUGCCUCAAAGUGUCCUAUUUCCCUGCUUCAAGGAGAUGAACUUGAGUGUCCACAAGGGAACAGAAGUUCCAAGGACAGCCAAGGGACUGAUACAAAGCCAGUACUCUCAGCAAGUGCAUUAAAAUGGGACAGAGGAGGUUGAGAAUCUUAAAAUAACAGGUGGUGCCGGUGGUCCCUGACCUUCCACAAACACACUUGUCAGCAGGGCAGAUGUGCGAGGCCCAGAUGAAGAUUAACGGGGGAGGAAAGGAAACCCGCUUGUGUCCCUCCCGAUGAACGCUGGCUCUGUGAAGAGCUGGGCUGGCAGUGAGGCUGAAAGCAGCACUGUGGCAGAGGGCAGCGCAUCCCAACACCUGACCACGGGCUCAGUCAGGCGAUCCCAAGGAACAUCCUUCACACCCCAGAAAACAAAACAACAAAAGAAGGAAAAAAGAGGAUAAAAAGAAGGCCCUUUGUGUGGCUGAGAAACUGUUCUGGAUCCAGACCACUGUGAUGGUGCUGCAGGUGCCCUGACGCAGCUCUAAAAUACAAUCUACCCCAUCGAUCGCAAAGUUGCGCCACAAGACUUCAGGCUUCAAAUUAACCCAGCGCACAACUGGGGAGCAAUUUGCUCAGAUCCUGCCAGUGUGCACCAGACCGGAGAGCUGCAAGGUCAGCCGACGGGCAGAGACAGCUCUAGCCCUAAAAAUAACCAGCCUCACUUUGCUGAACACAGGGCUGAAUGCAGCUCAGCGCCGCCAGCUACGACAUGGCCAAUUCCUCCUCUCUUCCCCCCACUGCCCCCUCACCAUUGCCAGGAGAGAUGUGGGGGUGCUGAGCCGCCCUUGCAAGAUGCUGCUGUGGUAGAUCCAGCUCUGGGCUAUGAUUUAAAACCAACUCAGCUCUUCUUGACGAUCAUUUGACACUUCUGUCGUUACCUGCAGACCUGGCAAAAACCAGGACAGGCUGCGAGAAACCCCCCCAGCUGCCUGGCCGGAGGCAGCGCAGCUCCUUCCUGCAGCCUCGUGCACCAAGAAGUCCUGGUUUCUCCCCAGAGUGACUCAGGUGACAAGGCCCAGCAGAUGGACAGAGCUGGCUGCUGCCCGGUGUCACUGUGACUGCACAUGCUUUAAAACACCGCCAGCUGUGUGAUUCUGUGAGCCUGAACUUCGCCUUUGUUCAAAGAAAUUCUAACCCUUUCCCUGUGAAAGGGCAGUCUAAGCACAAAGACAUGUACUAUCCAGGCAGUAUUUUCUCUAUAAACUGGUCAAAAAUAGUUUCUUCUCAAAAACAA
Molecule: long non-coding RNA, 1784 nt
Organism: Columba livia (rock pigeon)
Lineage: Eukaryota; Metazoa; Chordata; Aves; Columbiformes; Columbidae
Exons: 3
Source: RefSeq, a predicted model, not a curated record